UCUGUAGAAACAUCAGAUGAGCACAUCUAGAUCUAAAUGCGACCAACCUCCUGAAACGGGGAACUGCAAAGUUUUUAUUAUACCAAGAGAUGGACACGGGGAGGUGAAGCCGCUUCUCCUGCACAGGAAGUUUGAAGGGAACAAGUGUCUCUUGGAAAAUCAAGGUGUCUUGAAGGUUUAAUUUGCAUGUCCAGCAGCAGUGACCCCUCCCCUGGAAGCAUCUGCUGCCCUGGCUCCAGGAGCACAAGGUCCCAGCAGAUAUCUGGAGUGCAAAACGCAGCAAUGGAUAUUCUGCUUGUAAGAAUCUAAAAGUGUAGAGCCCAAAGCACGUUGCUGUACUUAACCUAGCGACUUCCCACACUUUCCUGAUGAAAACACUGAGGGUUGCAACUGGGAUGGGCUGUGAUGCUUGCAGCACCCA
Cuculus canorus (common cuckoo) is the source of this 421-nucleotide long non-coding RNA. RefSeq lists it as uncharacterized. The record is from RefSeq and is a predicted model, not a curated record. NCBI's taxonomy places the organism in Eukaryota, Metazoa, Chordata, Aves, Cuculiformes, Cuculidae. The transcript has 3 exons.